Molecule: non-coding RNA, 1331 nt
Organism: Salmo salar (Atlantic salmon)
Lineage: Eukaryota; Metazoa; Chordata; Actinopteri; Salmoniformes; Salmonidae
Source: RefSeq, a predicted model, not a curated record
GUUACAGUAAAAGAAGAGGAGGAUGCUGUUUUUGGAAUGAAGGAGGAGAAAGAGGGAGAGAUUACUGUCAUAUUGACAGAGGAGUCAGGAGAUCUGAUUACCACCAGAGAGGGACCAGACUCUCACUCUGACAGCGGGGAGACUCCUUCAGGGGAACCAGACCCAGAGACGCCCAAACCAGCGAGACAACACCACUGUUCCCAGUGUGGAAAGCGUUUUAAGUGGUUAAGGAACCUGAAAGUACAUGAGAGAAUACAGGAGAAAACCCUUACGAAUGCUCCCACUGUGGAAAGAGUUUUACCAAGUUAGGGAACCUAAAAGAGCAUGAGAGGACACACACAAGAGAAAAGAGUUUCCAAUGUUCCCAGUGUGGAAAGAGGUUUACCCAGUUACGGUACCUGAAACAACAUGAAGAAAUACACACAGAAGAUAGGAAGACCUACCACUGCUCUCAGUGUGGAAAGAUAUUUACUGGGUUAGGGAACCUGGAAAUACAUAUGAGAAGACACUCUGGAGAGAAGCCGUACCACUGUUCCCACUGUGUAAAGAGUUUUACUCAGUUAGGGAGCCUGAAACCACAUGAGAGGGGACACACUGGAGAGAAGCCUUAUCACUGUUCCCACUGUGGAAGGAAUUUUAGGUGGUAUGCGAGCCUGAAGGAGCAUGAGAGAAUACACACAGGAGAAAAGCCUUACCACUGUUCCAAUAGUGAAAAUAGUUUUACCCAUCGAGGGAGCCUGAAAGCGCAUGAGAGAAUACACUCAGGAGAAAAGCCUUACAAAUGUUCCCGAUGUGAAAAGAGUUUUACCCGGUUAGGGAGCCUGAAAAAGCAUGAGAGAACACACACAGGAGAAAAGCCUUUCCAACAUACUAAUACACAGGAGGAGAAGACAUACCACUGCUCUCAUUGUGAAAAGACAUUUUCCCAGUCAGAGGACCUGAAAUCACAUGAGAGAAUAGAGGCUGUGUUCUGACUUAUGUUUUUGAUUGAGAAAUUGUGUUUUUGUUCAUUCUACAUUAAAUAAUAUUGUAUGAAUGAAAUCAUACUGAAAAAUAGGUCUACAUGUUUUUCCCAGCUCAAGACAUGAUCAUGUCGAAAAUCGGAUUAAAAGAGUAAAAAAAAAUGUUUUGAUUAUGAACUUAAGAUUGAUUGAAUGCAAGUGUAAACCCCUAAAUGUUGUUCACUAUAUCAUUGGGAUAUUUCAAACAUGUUAAUUAUUAAAUAGAUUGAUAUUAGUAUUUCUUCAUUCAGAUUGUCAUUGUAAAUGCGUAUUGGUUCUCAAUUGACAUAUCUGAUUAAAUAAAUGUGAAAUAAAGUAAAUGCCAUAUUA